This is a non-coding RNA of Myotis lucifugus (little brown bat), 81 nucleotides long. The record is from Rfam. NCBI's taxonomy places the organism in Eukaryota, Metazoa, Chordata, Mammalia, Chiroptera, Vespertilionidae.
GCCAGUUUGGCUCAGUGGAUAGAGCAUUAGCCUUCGGACUGAAGGGUCCCGGGUUGUGGGUUCAAUCCCCAGUAGGAGGCA